UAGCUUAUUGUAAUUUUAUAGUAGGUGUUUUCUGCCCGGUGAUUUUUAAACGGCCGCGGUACUCUGACCGUGCAAAGGUAGCAUAAUCAUUUGCUUCUUUAUUGGGGGCUGGAAUGAAUGGAAGAACGAGAUUUUAGCUGUCUCUUUUCCUGUUUUGGAAUUUGCUGUUUUUGUGAAGAAGCAAAGAUUUUUAAAAAAGACAAGAAGACCCUGUUAAGCUUUAUCUGUUAGGACUUGUAGUUUUUCGGCCUGUGUGGUACGCGAUUAUAGUUUGAUGGAUUUGGUUGGGGUGACCAAAGAAGAGAUAAAUCUUCUUUUAGACAGAAAACGGUGGGUUGAAUGAUGGGCCAGAGUUGUUCUGAGGAAAGGAAUUAGUUACUACAGGGAUAACAGCGUAAUUUUUUCGGAGAGUUCUUAUUGAAGAGAGAGAUUGCGACCUCGAUGUUGACUUGUCAUAUCCUUUUAAGGUGCAGUUGCCGAGAGGGUUGGUCUGUUCGACCAUUAAAAUGGC
This 511-nucleotide ribosomal RNA is filed under the name Lineidae sp. H HK-2021. Its description in RNAcentral is "partial 16S rRNA". It matches the Rfam family "Bacterial large subunit ribosomal RNA", at positions 1816 to 2597 of the family's 2925-position model. Lineage: Eukaryota; Metazoa; Nemertea; Pilidiophora; Heteronemertea; Lineidae. The record is from RNAcentral.